RNAcentral lists this unclassified non-coding RNA (245 nucleotides) under uncultured fungus. RNAcentral's name for it is "partial contains 5.8S ribosomal RNA, internal transcribed spacer 2, and large subunit ribosomal RNA". The stretch from base 1 to 52 matches the Rfam family "5.8S ribosomal RNA", at positions 103 to 154 of the family's 154-position model. Lineage: Eukaryota; Fungi. The record is from RNAcentral.
AACGCACAUUGCGCCCGCCAGUAUUCUGGCGGGCAUGCCUGUUCGAGCGUCAUUACAACCAUCAAGUCCUAGGCUUGUGUUGGGGCCCUGCGGCUGCCGCAGCCCCCUAAAUGUAGUGGCGGUCUCGCUGUAACACCGAGCGUAGUAGUUUCUCCUCGCAAGGGCGUUGUGGCGGGUUCUAGCCGUGAAAUCCCCUAAAUUUCAAGGUUGACCUCGGAUCAGGUAGGAAUACCCGCUGAACUUAA